Molecule: long non-coding RNA, 2591 nt
Filed under: Nicotiana tabacum (common tobacco)
Lineage: Eukaryota; Viridiplantae; Streptophyta; Magnoliopsida; Solanales; Solanaceae
Description: long non-coding RNA (NTAB_LNC010962)
Source: RNAcentral
CAGCACUCUUUUUUCCUUCUUGAAUUUCUCCUCCAACUUCAUGAGCAUACGCUUCUUGCAGUGCACCAAAAAUGAUUUCUCUGCAGAAGGAGAAAGAGAGAAAAAGCAUGGUUAGGAGAUCGAGCAUAUUGCUACCCCCUGAUGAGAUUACCAUAACCCACUUAAAAUACUUAAAUUUUAAUUUACUUUUGUUUCGUAUUAUCCAACUGUUGCAGGCACUGAAGUGGCCUCUAGUAGUUUGUCAGUCAGCUGAGCGUCUUCUACUCUGCUAUGAAGAUGAAUUAAGCGUGUUAAUGAUUCACAUAAGAGUGUAUAAUCUGCUCAAAUAAACUCAAUGAUAUCCAACACCCACAAAAACUACAUGCAACUUAGAGAGCCGUGGAUAAACUUGUGAGAUGUAUCUGUAAGAUUAUCUUAGAAACACAAAAAUAAUAUAUUAAUGCUCUUUUGAACUCACAUCCUCAUUUAUAUAUACGACUACCAUAUGGUAGACUAUGACUGCAUUAAUAGCAGGAAAUAUAAGUCAUUUUUCGAGGCCAAUAAACCAAAAGAGGGAGUUAGCCAUAUAUAAUAUAGACCAUCCAUUUCUUGUCUUUGAACUCUGCGUAAGAGCUCCACUUGUAGGAUUCCACCAAUGGAAAGAACAGGUUUUGCCAGCCUAAACUUCUGCAAGCUGUUCUCCUGUACCCAUGAGAAGCUAGCUUAGCUGUUCCAAAGUCUGAGACACAUAAAAGAAGAAAUCUUAACUAAAACUGAGCUACAGUUUGAAGUAGAUUUUAAAUUGCUUGCUUUUGUCAACAAAAGAGAAGAUUAGUUCAUGAAUGAGCACCUAACAGCUGUGUUAAAAUGAGUGAUAUACUUCCACCAAGUACAUGUUCUGACAUAAGUAAGACCAAGAAUAGGCUUAGUUAGUGGAAACCAUUAUUAUUACUUGGGAAGUAGACGUUGUUACUUAUUAUCCAAGAAAAGAUGUCAGUGUAAAGUAUCCAUUUGAUUGCUUCACGGAUGAGAACUAUCCAGAACAAAAGAAACUGAAAUAUUGUUUGGAUAGCAAGAUGUAACAACCAAUUAAUGUGUAGUAGGUACAUAGAAGAAGAAAAAAACUGAUGAGACAAUCUCAAGAACAAAAAAGUAACGCUUAAAUACACAAAAAGAACAUAGACUUAAAGGAUAGAAAUACAAAAGAGAGCAAACUGAUUUAAUAUACAACUCUCUUUGUUAAUUCAUUAGUCUACAAGCAUAUUCUGAGAACAAAGAGGAUAACAAGACAAAUAACGAAUAUAAUUGAGAGGAGAAACAAAGUCAAGUGAAAAGUAAAAGCAAAGCAGCAGAAACCAAUUAAUUCUUAAGUUUACUUGUUCAUUUUCAUAUGAUUUUAUCAAUGCGGUUUGACUUAAGAUACUAACAAUAUUUGUAAUUGAAAGUAUGUACUAAUAUUUAGGGGAAAAGAAAGUUGAGAAGUAGAUACGAUGUUCUGUAUGAACAUAAAGGGGUCGCAGUUCACUACAUCGACCACUUCAGACCAUCCAUAUACCGGCUUCUUGUUUACUCUUUUCCUUCAUUCUCACAAUUAUAGUAACAAAGGUCUCAACAGGUGCAUUGCACUUUUGCUCCGUUUUCCUUUAUUGUGUUUCCUUUAUUGUAUACUUUUAAAUUGUCACAACUAUAACAUCAUGUCUUCUGAAAUUCCUUUCUUUAAAUUUUUUUCAGGAACAAGUUGAAGAAAAAAUAAGAAGAUUCAAGAGAGGGCAAAACUUUGGAUGAUUUAAGGAAAGUGAGACUUAUCAAGGAUUUGUACCAAUUAAACUUGUGGGCAAACUUGAAGAAGCAAAACAAAUUACAGAGAGAUGAAAAUAGAAUGCCAUCAAAAUUACCCAAAAUCAAAAUUACCAGAUUAUUCUUCACCCAAGCGAACCAAGAAAUUAAAUCUGAAGACAGUAAUAAAAAUCAAGUAGUAAAUUUGAUUCAUUGUAAAAUUUUGCCCUUAUUCUCGAGGAAAUACACAGAAGUUGAAGUGAAGGAAAAGAAAAUCCAGCAAAACAUAACUAACCUGAUAAAAGUUUCAGAGCCGCAAGAGGAAAGACCAGAAGAGACAAAGAUAACUUGAAGAGGAACUGAGAAAGGUAUGAAAAUCCGAAGAAACAGCAGUAUGAACCGAAAUCGAAGGUAACACGUGUGUAGAAAGCUAAAAUAUUUGAAAUUCCCAAACUACCCCUACGACCCCAAGCUCCUCUCGCUAGCUGUUUCUAUAAUAGUACUAGUGAGGGUAUGCCCGGGCUAUGCCCGGGCCGAACGACUAUUUAGUAUUUUUGUUAAUAAAGCUAUAUAGGUACUUAAAUCUAUCAUGGACCAUCGAAAAGAAACAUGUUAUGGAAAAGGUUUUUGUAUACCUAAAGGUUUUGUAAGUACUAUAGGCUAAAGAGAGAUUGUAUUUAACUGUCAUAACUACAUACAUAAAUGUGAUUCUAACAGUAUUUAGCAACAUGCGCACUGUCUUCACCUAUCCAUCCAGCUUUUCAUGUUGGUACUGUUGCACGCACUAAAAUGGCCUCUAGUAAUUUGUCAGUCAGCUGAGCGUCUUCUACUCUGCU